CUCUGAAAAUGGCAAAACUACCGAAAGGUAGUGACGCAAAGUUACCGGUCUAAGGGGCACAGCCCUAUGACAGCGGAACCUCCAGA
RNAcentral lists this non-coding RNA (86 nucleotides) under Candidatus Contendibacter. RNAcentral's name for it is "Candidatus Contendobacter c-di-GMP sequence". It matches the Rfam family "c-di-GMP-I riboswitch aptamer". From Rfam's summary of the family: GEMM was predicted in a large-scale screen for bacterial structured RNA regulatory elements. Genes associated with GEMM are involved in a diverse array of functions, including chemotaxis regulation, signal transduction, secretion and chitin. The record is from RNAcentral. Lineage: Bacteria; Pseudomonadati; Pseudomonadota; Gammaproteobacteria; Candidatus Competibacteraceae. RNAcentral also lists the same sequence under 1 other name.